AUUGAACGCUGGCGGCAUGCCUUACACAUGCAAGUCGAACGGCAGCACGGGAGCAAUCCUGGUGGCGAGUGGCGAACGGGUGAGUAAUAUAUCGGAACGUGCCCGGUCGUGGGGAUAACGUAGCGAAAGCUACGCUAAUACCGCAUACGAUCUACGGAUGAAAGCGGGGGAUCGCAAGACCUCGCGCGAUUGGAGCGGCCGAUAUCAGAUUAGGUAGUUGGUGAGGUAAAGGCUCACCAAGCCGACGAUCUGUAGCUGGUCUGAGAGGACGACCAGCCACACUGGGACUGAGACACGGCCCAGACUCCUACGGGAGGCAGCAGUGGGGAAUUUUGGACAAAUGGGCGCAAGCCUGAUCCAGCAAUGCCGCGUGCAGGAUGAAGGCCUUCGGUUGUAACUAGCUUUGUACGGUAACGAAACGGU
Molecule: ribosomal RNA, 423 nt
Filed under: uncultured bacterium
Lineage: Bacteria
Description: bacterial SSU rRNA
Rfam family: Bacterial small subunit ribosomal RNA
Source: RNAcentral